UAAAGGAAGCCACCCCUUCCGGUCCAUUCUUCCUAUCAUUAUUAAAGUCUAAUGGAGUCAGAUUAGAGAUGAAACCAAGGAUUCCCGUUUCCAGAGGUUUCUCUGUUCAUACGUUUGGCUCUCAGAAAACCUCCAGCCAAGCUGAUGAGUCAUACCCGGACCUGCAGACCACCGUAGACCAGGGUCAAUCCUCCGUUCAGAACGUGGCUAAUGGACGUGGGAACCAGCGUGGAGGGGAUAAAUCUCGGUCCAUUUUGAAAGUGAAGUUCCCCAAACUCCACCUUCGCCCUUUACUGAAGAAGACGGUUGAGGACGAAGAAACUGCAGUGAAAUGGAGGAAAGAGCCGAGGAGCAGAAAACCCAGGACAGCACAGCAUGGAGGAGCAACAGGUGCUGACAAUGACUGUGGUUCUGCUGAGGAAAGUGUGUUCUUCUUUUCUCAAAAAUCCAACCUUAAAUCCACAAACGAAACUGAAAAGGCCAAGCUCUCGGUUCUCAGGACCAUCUCCAGGAUGCUGGAGGAGAACCAGCUCAUCAGACACAGGCUAUUGGCUCUAACUCAGGUCCACUGAGGAGGAGACGAUAGUUUGUUUCCUGCAGCGUGAGGUUCUAGUUUGGUCUUGGCUUUGUUAAAUAGUAUUCAGAUGUUUAUUUAUAUUGUUGAAUAAAUGUGGCCCUUAUUGAAGUGUUUUAUUCUUU
Molecule: long non-coding RNA, 699 nt
Filed under: Gouania willdenowi (blunt-snouted clingfish)
Lineage: Eukaryota; Metazoa; Chordata; Actinopteri; Blenniiformes; Gobiesocidae
Description: lncRNA (ENSGWIG00000024724.1)
Source: RNAcentral